GAUGAACGCUGGCGGCGUGCCUAAUACAUGCAAGUCGAGCGAACAGACGAGGAGCUUGCUCCUCUGACGUUAGCGGCGCACGGGAGAGUCACACGUGGACAACCUACCUAUAAGACUGGGAUAACCUCGAGAAACCGGAGCUAAUACCGUAUAACAUGUUGAACCGCAUGGUUCAACAGUGAAAGACGGUCUUGCUGUCACUUAUAGAUGGAUCCGCGCCGCAUUAGCUAGUUGGUAAGGUAACGGCUUACCAAGGCAACGAUGCGUAGCCGACCUGAGAGGGUGAUCGGCCACACUGGAACUGAGACACGGUCCAGACUCCUACGAGAGGCAGCAGUAGGGAAUCUUCCGCAAUGGGCGAAAGCCUGACGGAGCAACGCCGCGUGAGUGAAGAAGGUCUUCGGAUCGUAAAACUCUGUUAUUAGGGAAGAACAAAUGUGUAAGUAACUAUGCACGUCUUGACGGUACCUAAUCAGAAAGCCACGGCUAACUACGUG
Molecule: ribosomal RNA, 497 nt
Filed under: uncultured bacterium
Lineage: Bacteria
Description: partial 16S ribosomal RNA
Rfam family: Bacterial small subunit ribosomal RNA
Source: RNAcentral